AUGGAACUGCUGGUGCUUGGCUCUUGGCUGGCUGCCUGCUUUGGCAAAAUGCGCGAGCUGGCGAUGGGGCAGAGGCAGGCGUCUCCGGCUCUGUAUAUACAGCGCCUCUGUGCACGUGGACGAUUGGGAUUUGCUCGUGGAGAAUUCUUUUUCUUUUCUUUUGAGCAGCCGCUGAGAAUUCUUCCUGACCGACUGCCGGCCAAGUUAAGUCUAGUUCCGCGUGUUCAUUCUUUUUUCUCACGAAAAGGAAGUCAGCGGCCGCUUCUCAUUUUGAAAAGUACUCCCUCCCCCCGCAGUUUUUUCUUAUAA
This 309-nucleotide ribosomal RNA is filed under the name Triticum aestivum (bread wheat). RNAcentral describes it as "partial small subunit ribosomal RNA". Lineage: Eukaryota; Viridiplantae; Streptophyta; Magnoliopsida; Poales; Poaceae. The record is from RNAcentral.